CCUCUGAUCUCUGAUAAUAUGAUUUAUCUCUUGUGCCCUUAUCUAUUCACGAACUUUUACAUACAGCGUAUUACGUUUAAGGUCUUUAAAAACAUAAGAAAAGAGAAAAGUCGGUAAUAUUAUAUUUAUUUCAAUUUCAAUUAUAAAAACAGUAAGAUGAAUAUUGCGCCUCGAUACAAUGUUUUACGACAAGUUGCAAGGUUUCAAUAUCGUACUAAUAAAAUUGGCAUGAAUAAUGUCUCGCAGUAUUGUAAUAUCGAUGACAAUAUUUAUGGACUGAGUUAUGAACAGAAAGAGCUUCGUUCGCUCGUUUUCAAUUUUGCACAAAAAGAAUUGGCACCUAAAGCUGCUGAAAUCGAUAAACAAAAUAAUUUUGCUGAAUUAAGAACAUUUUGGAAAAAAUUGGGUAAAUUGGGUCUGUUGGGAAUCACAGUAAAGCCGGAAUAUGGAGGCACGGGCGGCACAUAUUUUGAUCAUUUAAUUAUUAUGGAAGAAUUAAGUAGAGCAUCAGCCUCUAUUGGACUUAGUUACGGCGCACAUUCGAAUCUUUGUGUUAACCAAAUUCACAGAAACGGUACGGAGGAACAGAAGCAUAAAUACUUGCCUAAGCUUUGCAGCGGCGAACACAUUGGCGCACUAGCAAUGUCAGAGCCGGGAUCUGGAUCUGAUGUUGUUUCCAUGAAGCUACGAGCUGAGAAGAAAAGAGAUUAUUACAUACUCAACGGCAACAAAUUCUGGAUCACUAAUGGUCCGAAUGCAGACACGUUAGUAGUUUACGCGAAGACUAAUCCGAACGCGAAGAAACCACAGCACGGUAUCACCACUUUCAUCAUCGAGCGCGAUAUGGAAGGCUUCAGCACAGCGCAAAAACUGGACAAGUUAGGUAUGCGCGGCUCCAAUACUUGCGAGCUGAUCUUCGAGAAUUGUAAAGUUCCAGCCGCAAACAUUUUGGGAGAGGUUAAUAAAGGAGUUUAUAUACUCUUCAGUGGAUUGGAUUUGGAACGGUUGAUAUUAUCCGGUGGACCUUUGGGCAUUCAGCAAGCCUGUUGCGAUAUUGCUUUUGAAUAUGCUCAUUCAAGAAAGCAAUUCAAUCAAUAUCUUGCAGAAUUUCAGCUCAUACAGGGGAAGAUUGCGGACAUGUACACGGCAUUGAAUGCAAGUAGAAGUUACGUAUAUCUUCUUGCAAGAGCCUACGACAAUGGUUACACAAAUUGUAAGGAUUGCGCAGCGGCAUUACUUUUUUCUAGUGAAAAGGCUGUAAAAACAGCGUUAGAUGCUUUACAGAUACUUGGCGGCAACGGAUAUAUCAAUGAUUAUUCAACGGGCAGGCUGCUGCGAGACGCAAAGCUGUACGAAAUCGGUGCAGGCACUUGUGAAAUACGACGUAUAGUCAUUAGCCGGGCGAUCACCAAAGAAUAUUUGUAAAAUAUGAGGAAAACCUUUACAUCUGUCUCUACAUUUCACAGUGGAUGUAAUUAGCUGGUGAUUCAUAACAUCGCUAUUGCCAAUGUCGCAUAUCGCAUAUUGGCUAUACGAUAAUGAUCACGUAUAAAUUAAGAUAAAGUGAGUCACUAGAGUGCGGCUGGAUCGAAAACUAACCGAGAUUGACUAACCUUUCACACUAUAGUGCAGCCAAACUAAUUGCAAUCGAAUCGGCUCGCGCAGAGAAGUUUCUCGCCGUCCAUGAACAUCACACGACGGAAGGAGCUCUGAAGAAGAACAUAGGUUCUUAUCAGGAAAUAGCAGAAAAAAGCGACAGGACAGAUAAACUUUUGCAUCGAGGAUGGCUCUCAAGUUUUCCAUAGGCCACUUUUACGAGACCUAUAUUUCAGAAUUAUAUACGUAGAUAUUUAAGAGAAAAAAGAGAAAAACGUACAAGGUCACAUUCUUAUGUUCAACUAAAUAAUCUAAUAAUUUAUCUCAUGUAAUAUAUAUAAUAACUUAAUCAAUGAAAAGUAGAAAAAAUCUGAUAUUGAGAGGAGAGAUAAAGUAAGUUUUAUUUGUCGAAGAAUCUGUCAUGGAUGUUGUUUUCUGUACAUACAUGUGUGUGUGUCUGCUCCACUUACAGAUUACUUAUGAAAUAUAUGUGUCGAAAUAUAUUUAAAACUGUGU
RNA transcript from Pseudomyrmex gracilis, 2112 nucleotides. It is a transcript of the gene named isovaleryl-CoA dehydrogenase, mitochondrial, with no coding region annotated. The transcript has 11 exons. The record is from RefSeq and is a predicted model, not a curated record. NCBI's taxonomy places the organism in Eukaryota, Metazoa, Arthropoda, Insecta, Hymenoptera, Formicidae.